This 21-nucleotide non-coding RNA is filed under the name Caenorhabditis elegans. Lineage: Eukaryota; Metazoa; Nematoda; Chromadorea; Rhabditida; Rhabditidae. The record is from RNAcentral.
UACUUUCUCUUUUAACAAGCU